UGAGGAAUAUUGGUCAAUGGUCGAGAGACUGAACCAGCCAAGUCGCGUGAAGGAUGACUGCCCUAUGGGUUGUAAACUUCUUUUACAAGGGAAUAAAUUGAGAUACGUGUAUUUUAUUGCAUGUACCCUGGGAAUAAGCCUCGGCUAACUCUGUGCCAGCAGCCGCGGUAAUACGGAGGAAGCGAGCGUUAUCCGGAUUUAUUGGGUUUAAAGGGUGCGUAGGUGGGCUAUUAAGUCAGCGGUGAAAGUUUGUCGCUUAACGAUAAAAUUGCCGUUGAUACUGGUAUUCUUGAGUAUAGAUGAAGUAGGCGGAAUUCGUGGUGUAGCGGUGAAAUUCAUAGAGAUCACGCAGAACUCCGGUGGCGAAGGCAGCUUACUAGGGUAUAACUGACACUGAAGCACGAAAGCGUGGGUAUCAAACAGG
Molecule: ribosomal RNA, 424 nt
Filed under: Fusobacteriota bacterium
Lineage: Bacteria; Fusobacteriati; Fusobacteriota
Description: Fusobacteria bacterium partial 16S ribosomal RNA
Rfam family: Bacterial small subunit ribosomal RNA
Source: RNAcentral